UGAAGCGGGAAAAGCUCAAAUUUAAAAUCUGGCAGUCUUUGAUUGUCCGAGUUGUAAACUAGAGAAGUGUUAUCCGCGCUGGACCGUGUAAAAGUCUCCUGGAAUGGAGCAUCAUAGAGGGUGAGAAUCCCGUCUUUGACAUGGACUACCAGUGCUUUGUGAUGCGCUCUCAAAGAGUCGAGUUGUUUGGGAAUGCAGCUCAAAAUGGGUGGUAAAUUCCAUCUAAAGCUAAAUAUUGGCGAGAGACCGAUAGCGAACAAGUACCGUGAGGGAAAGAUGAAAAGAACUUUGGAAAGAGAGUUAAACAGUACGUGAAAUUGCUGAAAGGGAAACGCUUGAAGUCAGUCGCGUCGGCCAGGAAUCAACCUUGCUUUUGCUGGGCGUACUUUCUGGUUGACGGGUCAGCAUCAAUUUUGACUGCUGGAAAAAGUUCAAGGGAAUGUGGCAUCUUCGGAUGUGUUAUAGCCCUUGUUCGCAUACAGCAGUUGGGAUUGAGGUACUCAGCAGGAAAAAA
This 514-nucleotide ribosomal RNA is filed under the name Bolbitius lacteus. Its description in RNAcentral is "eukaryotic LSU rRNA". It matches the Rfam family "Eukaryotic large subunit ribosomal RNA", at positions 94 to 608 of the family's 3401-position model. The record is from RNAcentral. Lineage: Eukaryota; Fungi; Basidiomycota; Agaricomycetes; Agaricales; Bolbitiaceae.